This 490-nucleotide ribosomal RNA is filed under the name uncultured bacterium. RNAcentral's name for it is "partial 16S ribosomal RNA". It matches the Rfam family "Bacterial small subunit ribosomal RNA", at positions 28 to 507 of the family's 1533-position model. The record is from RNAcentral.
GAUGAACGCUAGCUACAGGCUUAACACAUGCAAGUCGCGGGGCAGCAUGGGGGUUGCUUGCAAUCCCCGAUGGCGACCGGCGCACGGGUGAGUAACGCGUAUCCAACCUGCCCUUCACCACGGGAUAACCCGGCGAAAGUCGGACUAAUACCGUAUGUUGUCCAUUGACGGCAUCCGAUUUGGACGAAAGGUUUGGCGGUGAAGGAUGGGGAUGCGUCCGAUUAGCUGGACGGCGGGGUGACGGCCCACCGUGGCGACGAUCGGUAGGGGUUCUGAGAGGAAGGUCCCCCACACUGGAACUGAGACACGGCCCAGACUCCUACGGGAGGCAGCAGUGAGGAAUAUUGGUCAAUGGGCGUAAGCCUGAACCAGCCAAGUAGCGUGCAGGAUGACGGCCCUAUGGGUGGUAAACUGCUUUUAUGCGGGGAUAAAGUGGCCCACGUGUGGGUUUUUGCAGGUACCGCAUGAAUAAGGACCGGCUAAUUCCGUG